AGUGAACGCUGGCGGUAGGCCUAACACAUGCAAGUCGAACGGCAGCACAGGAGAGCUUGCUCUCUGGGUGGCGAGUGGCGGACGGGUGAGGAAUACAUCGGAAUCUACUCUGUCGUGGGGGAUAACGUAGGGAAACUUACGCUAAUACCGCAUACGACCUACGGGUGAAAGCAGGGGAUCUUCGGGCCUUGCGCGAUUGAAUGAGCCGAUGUCGGAUUAGCUAGUUGGCGGGGUAAAGGCCCACCAAGGCGGAGAUACGUAGCUGGUCGGAGAGGAUGAUCCGCCACACUGGACCUGGAACACGGCCCAGACUCCGACGGGAGGCAGCAGUGGGGAAUAUUGGACAAUGGGCGCAAGCCUGAGCCAGCCCUACCGCGUGGGUGAAGAAGGCCUUCGGGGUGUAAAGCCCUUUUGUUGGGAAAGAAAUCCAGCCGGCUAAUACCCGGUUGGGAUGACGGUACCCAAAGAAUAAGCACCGGCUAACUUCGUGCCAGCCGCCGCCGUAA
This 506-nucleotide ribosomal RNA is filed under the name uncultured bacterium. RNAcentral describes it as "partial 16S ribosomal RNA". It matches the Rfam family "Bacterial small subunit ribosomal RNA", at positions 29 to 523 of the family's 1533-position model. The record is from RNAcentral.